UUGGAGGGCAAGUCUGGUGCCAGCAGCCGCGGUAAUUCCAGCUCCAAUAGCGUAUAUUAAAGUUGUUGCAGUUAAAAAGCUCGUAGUUGAAUUUCGGGGUUCUUCCGUUGGUCAGGCUAACAAGUCUGUACUAGCGUGUAGAAUCUCUACCUUCUGGGGAGCCAUCAUGUUAUUAAUUUAGCGUGGUGGGAAACCAGGACCUUUACCUUGAAAAAAUUAGAGUGUUCAAAGCAGGCUUACGUCUGAAUACAUUAGCAUGGAAUAAUAAAAUAGGACGGUGGUCCUGUUUUGUUGGUUUCUGAAUCACCGUAAUGAUUAAUAGGGAUAAUUGGGGGCAUUAGUAUUCAAUUGUCAGAGGCGAAAUUCUUGGAUUUAUUGAAGACUAACUUCUGCGAAAGCAUUUGCCAAGGAUGUUUUCAUUAAUCAAGAACGAAAGUUAGGGGAUCGAAGACGAUCAGAUACCGUCGUAGUCUUAACCAUAAACUAUGCCGACUAGGGAUCGGACGAUGUUAAAUUUUAUUGACUCGUUCGGCGCCUUACGGGAAAC
This 547-nucleotide ribosomal RNA is filed under the name uncultured Glomeromycotina. Its description in RNAcentral is "SSU rRNA". It matches the Rfam family "Eukaryotic small subunit ribosomal RNA", at positions 548 to 1098 of the family's 1831-position model. Lineage: Eukaryota; Fungi; Glomeromycota. The record is from RNAcentral.